UCCAAGCGUAUUUUCUUCAGAGCUAUAGUCUCAUUGGUCACACGAUCACGAGCCUUGUACACUACUCCAUAUGUUCCUUCACCAAUCUUUUCAACUUUCUCAUACUGGUCCAUCCAGUCNNNNNNNNNNAUACAGCUGUAAAUUCUGGUCUCCAAGUCAAGGCAGCUGUAACCUUGCUUCUUAAUGCGCAGGAUUGACAUCUUCAGUGGUCCAGAAGUAAUCAAACGGAGAUCUUCGAACAAACUCAGCUUGCAUUCAACCUCCGGACUGUCAAGAAAUGGAGGAAGCAAGAAAGC
This 296-nucleotide unclassified non-coding RNA is filed under the name Hevea brasiliensis (rubber tree). The record is from RNAcentral. Lineage: Eukaryota; Viridiplantae; Streptophyta; Magnoliopsida; Malpighiales; Euphorbiaceae.